AUGCUGAAGGCCGGACUGAUUGUGCCAAGUGUCAGCCCCUUCUCGUCGCCAGUGCUGUUAGUCAAGAAGAAAGAUCAGACUUGGAGGUUCUGCGUGGACUUUCGACACUUGAACGCAAUCACCCUCAAGCGUGCCUACCCCCUGCCCAUCAUCGAGGAGCUUCUAGAUGAACUUGCCGGCUCGGCUUGGUUCUCCAAACUGGACCUUCGAGCAGGAUACCACCAGAUCAGGUUGCUGGAGGAAGAUGAGAUGAAGACAGAAUUUACAACACACCAGGGACAUUUCCAGUUUCGGGUCUUGCCAUACGGGGUAACAGGAGGCCGCCGACAUUCCAGGGAGCGAUGA
RNAcentral lists this ribosomal RNA (345 nucleotides) under Triticum aestivum (bread wheat). Its description in RNAcentral is "partial small subunit ribosomal RNA". The record is from RNAcentral. Lineage: Eukaryota; Viridiplantae; Streptophyta; Magnoliopsida; Poales; Poaceae.